GGCCCCUUCCCAUCUGACAAUUUCCGAAGAUUUUAUAUUGACCUCUCGCUUUUUCAUCAUUCCAUCUCGCUAUUUUUGAGUGGUUUUUGCCGUUCGUGCCCUGUGGUGAGCGGUUUUGUCAAUGUGUUGGUGUUGAUCGUGCUGACCGAGCGACCCGAGUGUGAUUUUCAAACAAUUUACAAAGAAAAAAGGAAGAAGCAAACGCGGAACACGCACAUGCACACAGUCCGCGUUGCCGGACUUCGUGAUCCGAGAGAGUGCAAUAUGGACGCGUUGAUUUGAGGAGGUUUAAAAUAGUGAAUUAUCAACGAACUGUGUCCUCAAAGUGUUUCAGAAGACCAUUCAAGGGUGGAAUCAAACAGCAUCGACAGCCGCAACAUCAUGCAACAGUGAACAGUGCAGGAAGGAUGUUCAUCUACAGCCAAGAUUUCAUCGUAUACGUGUUUUGAAGUUUUUUUGUUCUUUUAAAGUGAUAAAUGUGAUUAAUUUACUAAUUUUUAGUAGUUAAAAAUGAUAAAAAAGGUGAAUUAACAACACUUGUUAAUAUUGUGAAAAAAUAUUGUGAAAUAAAAAGAAAUAUUUUAAGUGUAAA
Anopheles funestus (African malaria mosquito) is the source of this 592-nucleotide long non-coding RNA. RefSeq lists it as uncharacterized. The record is from RefSeq and is a predicted model, not a curated record. The transcript is spliced from 2 exons. NCBI's taxonomy places the organism in Eukaryota, Metazoa, Arthropoda, Insecta, Diptera, Culicidae.